AAUAUUGCGUUGAAGGUUAUAGUAGCGGAACGAUUCCCUGUUGAAGAGAGCUGACGGCCGGUGCGAGUCAGUAUACAGUUGUUUUGCCAAUUACAAGCUGGAGCUUCUCCUGUUCAAGCAGGAGACGGAUGUAUAUCCGUUAGCAAACCGAGUGGCAGUUUACACUGCAACAAGGGUGGUACCGCGAGUUAUUCCUCGUCCCUUUU
This 206-nucleotide non-coding RNA is filed under the name Terribacillus aidingensis. RNAcentral describes it as "T-box sequence". It matches the Rfam family "T-box leader". From Rfam's summary of the family: Uncharged tRNA acts as the effector for transcription antitermination of genes in the T-box leader family. T-boxes are found upstream of many aminoacyl-tRNA synthetase genes and some amino acid biosynthetic genes usually in Gram-positive bacteria. The record is from RNAcentral. Lineage: Bacteria; Bacillati; Bacillota; Bacilli; Caryophanales; Bacillaceae.